This 521-nucleotide ribosomal RNA is filed under the name uncultured bacterium. RNAcentral's name for it is "bacterial SSU rRNA". It matches the Rfam family "Bacterial small subunit ribosomal RNA", at positions 366 to 895 of the family's 1533-position model. The record is from RNAcentral.
GCGCAAUGGGCGAAAGCCUGACGCAGCAACGCCGCGUGGGGGAUGACGGCCUUCGGGUUGUAAACCUCUUUCGACAGGGACGAAGCUUUCGGGUGACGGUACCUGUAGAAGAAGCACCGGCUAACUACGUGCCAGCAGCCGCGGUAAUACGUAGGGUGCGAGCGUUGUCCGGAUUUAUUGGGCGUAAAGAGCUCGUAGGCGGUUUGUCGCGUCGGCCGUGAAAACCUGCAGCUUAACUGUGGGCGUGCGGUCGAUACGGGCAGACUUGAGUUCGGCAGGGGAGACUGGAAUUCCUGGUGUAGCGGUGAAAUGCGCAGAUAUCAGGAGGAACACCGGUGGCGAAGGCGGGUCUCUGGGCCGAUACUGACGCUGAGGAGCGAAAGCAUGGGGAGCGAACAGGAUUAGAUACCCUGGUAGUCCACGCCGUAAACGUUGGGCGCUAGGUGUGGGGACCAUUCCACGGUUUCUGUGCCGCAGCUAACGCAUUAAGCGCCCCGCCUGGGGAGUACGGCCGCAAGGCU